This 2242-nucleotide long non-coding RNA is filed under the name Helianthus annuus (common sunflower). Its description in RNAcentral is "hypothetical non coding rna". Lineage: Eukaryota; Viridiplantae; Streptophyta; Magnoliopsida; Asterales; Asteraceae. The record is from RNAcentral.
ACUUAUACCUCCAAUUUUUCAUUGACCCUUUUAUUCCCACCCCCAAAUCCCUCUUUAUUUUUUUCCUGUCCUCCCUCUUUAGCCUGAUACCAGUUGCUAGUUGUUGGAACUCUCGAGAGAACGAGACCAGGAGGAGACUUCUUAUGAAGGUAAACUAUCCGUCGACUUACAGCCCUAAUCACUUGGGUUUCGAGUUUAGUCAAAUCGAAGGUUAAUCAUGAUGAGAAGCGGUUGAUGAAGACGCAAUCAAAUACUAUAAGGAACGUAAAUUUUCUUUUCUCUAUUUAUUAUCUCUCACUUAUUUUCAUGUAAAUUUCAUCGUUAUCUGCAAGAUUUGUGAAAUUAUCUAACAUUUUUUUAUGUCUAUCUAUGAGAAUAGCAUUGUUAUUUAUUUUACCAAGAUGUGGCAACUCUAUAACUAUUUGCAAAAAUGGCUAAAUUGGGUAAGUUUUUCAAAUGGCCACAACCAUAUUUGAUUUAUUUCAUAAUCAAAAUAGUGAAAACCAAAGUUCUGCAGUUAUUGAUGAAGAAAGCACGAACCAAAUUAGUUUAAUGUUUAAUGAAAUACUUUGGUGAUGAUGUUAUAUUUUUUUGAUUUUGUUGCAGCUUGUUUUUGGGAAUUUAAAGUGCCUAAGAUCUUUCCUCCUUGUAUUCUUCUCACUUGUCUUCACGGUGAAUAGUUCAUAUGAAUCUUCAACAUUUGUAAUUAUUUCAUCACUUACUACUAGGGAUUAGCAUUUGGUACCGGUAUUUACAGGUAAAACACCGGUAAGUACCGGUACCGUACUGGUACUGGUACCGGUACCGAACCUGUAUAUUCGUACCAUUACCACUUUUUCCCAUUUUUCGGUACCGGUACUCGUUCGGUACCGAACGGGCACCCUGCUCAUCCCUACUUACUACAACCCUUGAGUUGAGUACUGGAUUAUUCAAGAAAAGUGGUACUGGUAGGGCUGUAAGUGGAGCCUAGUUAUCACAUUGCUAGGGUUUAGGUUUAGUAAUGUACAAUAAUCUAACAUUUCAGAAAAGAUAUAAUCUCAGAUAGGCUCCACAUUGCUAGGGUUUAGGUUCCAUGGUUGACUUAAUCAAAUGAGGAGCAAUGCGUUUGUUAAAGGCCUGAAUUUUAAUAUGUUUCAUGUCGUCACAUUAUUCGAUUAACAAGAUAUUUUAGUAUGCAGAUCUAUGAGGUGGUUACAAUCGCUUGAUUACUAUUUGUUUAAAAAGUGAUAACUUUGGUAUUGAUGUGUUAUUAACAGUGAUGUGUUAAUUUAUCAGUACCAGUGAGGAAUAAACGACGGAGUAGGCCGGAACGAGAGAAAAUAGAGAAACAUGAUAUGAUGAAGAAAAUUGAAGAAACUUGAGGUUACAUCCUUAAAUGAAUAAGAGAUUUCAAUUGUAAAUAAUAUAUGCCAAGUUUCUACCAAGUUUGGAUAUGGGUUUAUGUUAGUAAACACAUUAUUUUGAAUAUUGAAUGUAUUCCUUUUGGUUAAUUUGUAUCUUUAUUCUGUUAUUGUUUACUUAGUUGGAUAUUUCCUUUUUCUAUUUAGUUUGGAUGUUUAUCUUUUGUGUGAAUUGUGUGUGUAUAUAUAUAUAGUUUCUAAUAUAAUGUUUACAAUAAAAAAUUGGGUAAAAUUCGUACCAAAUUGUGUAGCAAAAAUCUCAAAAUCUGUAACGAAAAUCUUUCAAAAUUUGUAGCUAGAUUCCGAAUAAAAAUCAUAGCAAUGUAGCAUAACCGGUAGCAAAAACCAUCGCAAAUUUGUAGCUAAAUUCUGUAGCAACAUUGGUAGCAAGUUUUUGUAGCUAACAUUCGUAGCGAAAAUAAUGCAAAAGGUAGCAAAUUUUCAUAGCCAAACCAUAGUAAGUUCGUAGUUAAAUCAUGUAGCAAAAUGGUUGCAAAAAUGGUAGCAAAAACGUAACAAAUUUCCGUAGCCAACACUCGUAGCAAAAACUAGUUCGUAGCUAAACAUUAGUAGCAAAAUUUCAUAGCUAAAAAUAUCGGUAGCUAAAAAUCCAAAGUGAAAUUCCAUAGCAAAUCCGUGGCUAAAAUAGCGACGCCCUUUUUUCUAGCUAAAGUCGUCGCAAAUAUAAUUUUCGUAGCAAAUAAAUUUGCGACAAGACUUGUAGCUACGGACCAAAUCCGUAGCAGACACCUAGUUUGCAACGGAUUUGCUACGGAUUUGGCCGUAGCAAAUACCUAUUUAUGUAGUAGUGAACGUUCAUUUGAAAAUUUUGAAAAGAACGU